RNAcentral lists this ribosomal RNA (752 nucleotides) under uncultured Glomus. Its description in RNAcentral is "SSU rRNA". It matches the Rfam family "Eukaryotic small subunit ribosomal RNA", at positions 338 to 1092 of the family's 1831-position model. The record is from RNAcentral. Lineage: Eukaryota; Fungi; Glomeromycota; Glomeromycetes; Glomerales; Glomeraceae.
GGCCUACCAUGGUGGUAACGGGUAACGGGGUGUUAGGGCACGACACCGGAGAGGGAGCCUGAGAAACGGCUACCACAUCCAAGGAUGGCAGCAGGCGCGCAAAUUACCCAAUCCCGACACGGGGAGGUAGUGACAAUAAAUAACAAUACGGGGUUCUUAUGGAUCUCGUAAUUGGAAUGAGUACAAUUUAAAUCUCUUAACGAGGAACAAUUGGAGGGCAAGUCUGGUGCCAGCAGCCGCGGUAAUUCCAGCUCCAAUAGCGUAUAUUAAAGUUGUUGCAGUUAAAAAGCUCGUAGUUGAAUUUCGAGACCGGUUUACUGGUCGUGCUUUUGUACGUACUGGUAUUAUUGGUUUCUCCUUUCUGACGAAUCAUAAUGCCAUUAAUUUGGUGUUUUGGGGAAUCAGGACUGUUACUUUGAAAAAAUUAGAGUGUUUAAAGCAGGCUCACGCUUGAAUACAUUAGCAUGGAAUAACGAAAUAGGACGUUUGAUUUUAUUUUGUUGGUUUCUAGGAUCGACGUAAUGAUUAAUAGGGAUAGUUGGGGGCAUUAGUAUUCAAUUGUCAGAGGUGAAAUUCUUGGAUUUAUUGAAGACUAACUACUGCGAAAGCAUUUGCCAAGGAUGUUUUCAUUAAUCAAGAACGAAAGUUAGGGGAUCGAAGACGAUCAGAUACCGUCGUAGUCUUAACCAUAAACUAUGCCGACUAGGGAUCGGAUGAUGUUAAUUUUUUAAUGACUCAUUCGGCGCCUUACG